Molecule: ribosomal RNA, 253 nt
Filed under: uncultured bacterium
Lineage: Bacteria
Description: partial 16S ribosomal RNA
Rfam family: Bacterial small subunit ribosomal RNA
Source: RNAcentral
UACGUAGGUGGCGAGCGUUGUCCGGAUUUAUUGGGCGUAAAGCGCGCGCAGGCGGUCUUUUAAGUAUGAUGUGAAAUCUCGUGGCUCAACCACGAACGGUCAUUGGAAACUGGGAGACUUGAGUACAGAAGAGGAGAGUGGAAUUCCACGUGUAGCGGUGAAAUGCGUAGAGAUGUGGAGGAACACCAGUGGCGAAGGCGACUCUCUGGUCUGUAACUGACGCUGAGGCGCGAAAGCGUGGGGAGCGAACAGG